This 801-nucleotide ribosomal RNA is filed under the name uncultured Planctomycetota bacterium. Its description in RNAcentral is "bacterial SSU rRNA". It matches the Rfam family "Bacterial small subunit ribosomal RNA", at positions 64 to 866 of the family's 1533-position model. The record is from RNAcentral. Lineage: Bacteria; Pseudomonadati; Planctomycetota.
AAUCCCACCGGGUGUAGCAAUACACCGGGUGGGGGAAGUGGCGAAAGGGGCAGUAAGGCGUGGGCAACCUACCCCGGGGAUGGGGAUAGCCGUUCUAACGAGCGGGUAAUACCCAGCGAUCCGGCGUGCGGGCAUCCGCGUGCCGGGAAACGAGUUUCGCCUCGGGAGGGGCUCACGUGCUAUUAGCUGGUUGGCGGGGUAACGGCCCACCAAGGCAAAGAUGGCUAGCGGGUGUGAGAGCACGACCCGCGCCACUGGCACUGAGACACUGGCCAGACACCUACGGGUGGCUGCAGUCGAGGAUCUUCGUCAAUGGGCGCAAGCCUGAACGAGCGACGCCGCGUGUGCGAUGAAGGCCUUCGGGUUGUAAAGCACUGUCGAGGGGGAUCAAGGCCCGCAAGGGCUUGAUUGAUCCCUGGAGGAAGCACGGGCUAAGUUCGUGCCAGCAGCCGCGGUAAGACGAACCGUGCGAACGUUGUUCGGAAUCACUGGGCUUAAAGGGCGCGUAGGCGGCUCGCGAGGUCGGGGGUGAAAUCCCACGGCUUAACCGUGGAAGGGCCUCCGAUACCGGCGGGCUGGAGGAAGGUAGGGGUGCGCGGAACUUCUGGUGGAGCGGUGAAAUGCGUUGAUAUCAGAAGGAACGCCGGCGGCGAAAGCGGCGCACUGGACCUUUUCUGACGCUGAGGCGCGAAAGCCAGGGGAGCAAACGGGAUUAGAUACCCCGGUAGUCCUGGCCCUAAACGAUGGGUACUAGGCCGUGGGCCAGUCAUGGGCUCACAGCCGAAGCCAAAGUGUUAAGUA